RNAcentral lists this ribosomal RNA (252 nucleotides) under uncultured Streptococcaceae bacterium. RNAcentral describes it as "partial 16S ribosomal RNA". It matches the Rfam family "Bacterial small subunit ribosomal RNA", at positions 505 to 757 of the family's 1533-position model. Lineage: Bacteria; Bacillati; Bacillota; Bacilli; Lactobacillales; Streptococcaceae. The record is from RNAcentral.
GUGCCAGCAGCCGCGGUAAUACGUAGGUUCCGAGCGUUGUCCGGAUUUAUUGGGCGUAAAGCGAGCGCAGGCGGUUAGAUAAGUCUGAAGUUAAAGGCUGUGGCUUAACCAUAGUACGCUUUGGAAACUGUUUAACUUGAGUGCAAGAGGGGAGAGUGGAAUUCCAUGUGUAGCGGUGAAAUGCGUAGAUAUAUGGAGGAACACCGGUGGCGAAAGCGGCUCUCUGGCUUGUAACUGACGCUGAGGCUCGAA